This 567-nucleotide ribosomal RNA is filed under the name Caulobacter sp. 51. Its description in RNAcentral is "bacterial SSU rRNA". It matches the Rfam family "Bacterial small subunit ribosomal RNA", at positions 97 to 699 of the family's 1533-position model. The record is from RNAcentral. Lineage: Bacteria; Pseudomonadati; Pseudomonadota; Alphaproteobacteria; Caulobacterales; Caulobacteraceae.
GGCGGACGGGUGAGUAACACGUGGGAACGUGCCCUUUGGUUCGGAACAACUCAGGGAAACUUGAGCUAAUACCGGAUGUGCCCUUCGGGGGAAAGAUUUAUCGCCAUUGGAGCGGCCCGCGUCUGAUUAGCUAGUUGGUGGGGUAAAGGCCCACCAAGGCGACGAUCAGUAGCUGGUCUGAGAGGAUGAUCAGCCACAUUGGGACUGAGACACGGCCCAAACUCCUACGGGAGGCAGCAGUGGGGAAUCUUGCGCAAUGGGCGAAAGCCUGACGCAGCCAUGCCGCGUGAAUGAUGAAGGUCUUAGGAUUGUAAAAUUCUUUCACCGGGGACGAUAAUGACGGUACCCGGAGAAGAAGCCCCGGCUAACUUCGUGCCAGCAGCCGCGGUAAUACGAAGGGGGCUAGCGUUGCUCGGAAUUACUGGGCGUAAAGGGAGCGUAGGCGGACUGUUUAGUCAGAGGUGAAAGCCCAGGGCUCAACCUUGGAAUUGCCUUUGAUACUGGCAGUCUUGAGUACGGAAGAGGUAUGUGGAACUCCGAGUGUAGAGGUGAAAUUCGUAGAUAUUC